Molecule: ribosomal RNA, 913 nt
Filed under: uncultured bacterium
Lineage: Bacteria
Description: bacterial SSU rRNA
Rfam family: Bacterial small subunit ribosomal RNA
Source: RNAcentral
AGAGUUUGAUCCUGGCUCAGGACACACGCUAGCGGCGUACUUAACGAAUGCGAGUCGAGCGACGAACGGGAACUUCGGUUCCCCUGAGAGCGGCGAACGGGUGAGUAACACGUAGGUGACCUGCCCCGGAGCCGGGGAUAGCCCGCGGAGACGUGGGGUAAUACCCGGUACGCUCAUCGGCUUAGAUGCCGAUGAGGAAAGGAGCAAUCCGCUCUGGGAUGGGCCUGCGGCCCAUUAGCUAGUUGGUGGGGUAACGGCCUACCAAGGCGACGAUGGGUAGCUGGUCUGAGAGGAUGUCCAGCCACACUGGGACUGAGACAUGGUCCAGACUCCUACGGGAGUUAGCAUCGGGGGAUAUUGCGCAAUGGGCGAAAGCCCGACGCAGUGACGCCGCGUGCAGGAUGAAGGCCCUAGGGUCGUAAACUGCUGUCGGGUGGGAUGAACGCCGAGGGUAAUGCCUCGGUUUGACAGUACCACCCAAGGAAGCCCCAGCUAACUACGUGCCAGCAGCUGCGGUAAUACGUAGGGGGCGAGCGUUGUCCGGAAUUACUGGGCGUAAAGGGCGUCUAGGCGGCUUAGUAAGCGGAAUGUGAAAGCCCAGGGCUCAACCCUGGAAAGCCGUUCCGAACUACUAGGCUUGAGUUCGGGAGAGGGCAGUGGAAUUCCCGGUGUAGCGGUGAAAUGUUUAGAUAUCGGGAGGAACACCAGUGGCGAAAGCGGCUGCCUGGACCGAUACUGACGCUGAAGCGCGAAAGCCAGGGGAGCGAACGGGAUUAGAUACCCCGGUAGUCCUGGCCGUAAACGAUGAACACUAUGUGUUGGGGGCAUCAACCCUUCCAGUGCCGAAGCUAACGCAUUAAGUGUUCCGCCUGGGGAGUACGGCCGCAAGGUUAAAACUCAAAGGAAUUGACGG